RNAcentral lists this ribosomal RNA (253 nucleotides) under uncultured bacterium. RNAcentral's name for it is "partial 16S ribosomal RNA". It matches the Rfam family "Bacterial small subunit ribosomal RNA", at positions 524 to 776 of the family's 1533-position model. The record is from RNAcentral.
UACGGGGGGGGCAAGCGUUGUUCGGAAUUACUGGGCGUAAAGAGCUCGUAGGCGGCCGGUUGCGUCUGCUGUGAAAUCCCGGGGCUUAACCCCGGGCGUGCAGUGGAUACGGGCUGGCUGGAGGCAGGCAGGGGAGAAUGGAAUUCCCGGUGUAGCGGUGAAAUGCGCAGAUAUCGGGAGGAACACCGGUGGCGAAGGCGGUUCUCUGGGCCUGUGCUGACGCUGAGGAGCGAAAGCGUGGGGAGCGAACAGG